UCGAGGGAGCCAGGCGGCGGUAACGUCGUGAACCCCGUCAGGCCCGAGAGGGAGCAGCGGUAGCGGUUGUUGCCGGGUGCCUGGUUCCUUCAGAAA
This is a non-coding RNA of 96 nucleotides. It matches the Rfam family "Bacterial small signal recognition particle RNA". Rfam says of the family: The signal recognition particle (SRP) is a universally conserved ribonucleoprotein involved in the co-translational targeting of proteins to membranes. Archaeal SRP consists of a 7S RNA and homologues of the eukaryotic SRP19 and SRP54 proteins. The record is from Rfam.